CCUCCCAUUUUUAUUGGCCAAAAAAUAUAAUUAAUAAAAACUUUUCUCUUUCUCUUCUUUCCUAUUUGAUGAAUACACACUUUACUCUUCUUUCCUUUCUAAUGUUUUUUCUCUAGAAUUGAAAAUCGAAGAGAGGAAGUUGAAGAUCGAAGUGACGAAGCUGAAGAAAUGAAGAGCUGAGCUGAUGAACUGAAGAGCUGAGCUGAAGAUUCUCUUCUCCAGAACCCAAAUUACUUGAAGAGAUGACGAGCUGAAGCUAAAGAUCUGGGAUCGAAGAACUGAAAAACGGAAGCUGAAGACUCGAUUUUGUCAAGCGAAUGAUCAUAAGGAUGAUGAAUUUUGUCAUACUGGCGGAGCUUCACUGUAUAUUAAAAAUCCUGAAGUUGAUGACAGCAGAUUCUUUGAGGUGGCAUGAUAAGGAGCGUUCAAAAGAUGAAAGUGAAGGCAUCCUACUGAUGGUCAAGCAUGGAAAGAUUUUGAUAGGUAUCCAAAUUUUGCUUUAGAUUCUCGCAAUGUGAGACUUGGAUUAGUAAGUGAUGGGUUCAAUCCAUUUCGAACCAUGAGUAUAUCUCAUAGCACAUGGCCAGUUAUGUUGAUGGCGUAUGAUAUGCCGCCUUGGAUGUGCAUAAAAAUCUGAAUAUUCUAUACUUUCUUUACUUAUACCUGGACCACGAUCACCUGAAAAUGACAUUGAUAUUUACUUACAACCAUUGAUAGAUGAGUUAAAAUUGUUGUGGGAUUCUGGGGUUGAAACAUAUGAUGCUUCAAGAAAUCAAACUUUUCAAAUUCGAACAGCUCCUAUUUGGACAAUCAGUGACUUUCCUGUGUAUGCUAUGUUGUCUAGAUGGAGUACAAAAGGAAAGUUUGCUUGCCCUUGUUUAACUAUAACACUAAUUCUUGAUAUCUUAAGCAUAGUCGGAAAAUGUAUGGAUCAUCGUGUUUUUCUACCCAUGGAUCAUCCAUAGAGAUCUAACAAAAGAUCUUUCAAUGGAAAAGCUGAAUUCAGGCCUCCUCCACUUUUAUUAAAGGGAACUGAUGUUACAAGAUUUUGAAAAUGUGGUUGGAAAGAAGAUAUAGAGAUCAAAUGGUGGCCCAUGGAAAAAAGGUCAAUUUGUUUUAAUCACCUUAUUGGCAGCACAACUUGUUACUCCACAACCUUGAUGUAGGAAGAACACAGUUGAUAGCUUUCUUGGAACUCUUUUGGAUAUUCCUGGGAAAACAAAAGAUCAUGCAAAAGCCCGAUAUGAUUUGAAAGAGAUGGGAAUUAGAAAGAAUCUUCAUCCAAAAGAUAAUGGAGAUAACAAGAGAACAAAGUUUGCAAAAGCUUGCUUCUCAAUGAAAAAUGGAGAGAAAUCAAUAUUUGUGGAGUUUUAAAGACAGUCAAGCUACCUGAUGGCAGUGCCUCCAAUAUAUCUAGGUGUGUGCAACUGGAUGAAAGGAAAUUGUCUGGUUAUAAGACUCAUGAUGCUCAUUUCAUGUUACAUUACUUACUUCCAAUACCCAUUAAAAGCAUCCUUCCAGAUCAUAUGGCUAUUGCUUUGAUUCGUCUAUAUUGAAAUCAUUUUCUUACUUGUUGAAAGUGUAGAAAAACUCUUCCACAAGUUCUUUAACUUUACCACCACAUAUGGUGCAAAACUCAUUUUUGAUUGAGAAAAAACUCCAUAUUGAUUGUUCAUGCUACUAUAUUCACUGGUCUAUCAGAGCUUCACGAUGAAAAGGAUAGCUCGUGAGGUUUAAAGCAGUGAUAGAUUAAAGUUGGAGAUUCACGAUGCUUCUGAUCUUAAAUAGAUCAGUUGAUGAAAGUCUUAAGAAGGCUGCCUCUGACAUGUAUGAUUGCUUAUUUUUAAUUAGAUUCCCCCCCCCCCCCACCCCACACACACACACACACAAAAUUUCCGUCAAAUCCUAAGCAAUUUCUGCUCAAGAGCAUAUUUAACUACUUUUAACCUACACCCAAACAUAGGUGAUUUUUUUUUCUUGAUCCUAGUUAUUUAAUUAUCUUCAGUAUUAUGUUUUUGAUAAUUUUUAUUGCAGAAUUUGAAAAUAUGAAAUGCUCUUGAAAGUUUUGGUUAAAGUUUAGCUAUACGGAUACUUGUACAUUCUCUCUAUUGGAUAUACUCUGAAAUUGGAAUUUCCAUCAUGUGUGCCUGUUGUUCUGCGUCUUCAGGAUCUAGAGGACUUGGUGGUUCAGUUGAUCUUCUAGAUCAUUAUAAACUUAGGAAACAUCUUGAUUUUUAUGCAAGUGAUCAUUAUCAUCCUCUAUAUCUGAGACAGAAUACCAUAGGAGUGUGGUGGGGGACAGAGAAAUGAGGAGAGGUGCAGGGAUGAAACUAGAUCAGCUGUCGAAAAGCUCUUCCUAUGAGGGACACAGAUGUGUACACUUGCAUUCCUUUUGUCUUGGAUAUACUCACGGAUACUUUUCGGCUCAGAGAAACAUCAUCUAUUGAUCUUCCAUUGGCAGGUAUAGGGUUACCUUCAGGUGCAUCAAAGCAUAAAAAGAACAAACACAAAGAUAGGUCAAGGAAACUGGAUCCUAACAGUUGAAUUGAUAAGGAUCACACGCCAAUCAGGGAUAACAAUAAGGAGAAAAAUGGGAGUAAGAAGCAGAAUCAUGGUCCGGAUAUUUUUCUGAGACAAAAAUUUAUGCUUCUUGCCAUGAAUAGUUGCUUAUAUUUUGUCAUGAUCAAUUCUACAUCUAAUAUUUCAAAUGGAACUCUUUCAGCAUAAAAUGUGAAGUAUAUUUCAAAUGGAACUCUUUCAGCAUAAAAUGUGAAGUGUUGAAGUUGUUUUGCAGUUAGUGAUACAUAGGGUUGAGAAUUGGGAUAUUUAUUGCAAUAAUUUCUGCUAUGGCUUUUUAGGUUAAUAAUGUUAUCCUUUCAUGAAUCAGAUAACUAACAGAGAUAUUUCUAGAGCUUAGAUUUGUAUUGAAGUCAAGUUGAUAUGUUUUUAUUAUUACUUUAGUGGUAACCAUUGUUUAUCUUGUGUUGUUGAUUGCUCUUUCAGAAGCCAAGAACUUAUGGCAUUGGAGGUUUUUCUAGUAUCCGCCAUACCAGGAAACUGAGUUAAAAUAGGUCAGCUUUCAUCCGACCUGGUAAUAACAGAUUUUCUUUGUAUAGAAAGUACACAAUAAUGUGUGGUAACUUAGCCACUUGGUUCCAUGUGUGGGGAAGCUCUGUUUCAUUAUUUUCAUUUCUGGCACAUGAAUAAUAGCUUAGUAAGUUUUUAAACUCCUGAGGAAUUUUUUUACAUACUAGUAGUUUUAAGGGGUUAUUUUAUUGUUAUUAUAUUUCUAGUUGUGGGACUCAUGUUUUAUUGUUUCUCUUUCCUA
Long non-coding RNA from Solanum lycopersicum (tomato), 3328 nucleotides. RefSeq lists it as uncharacterized. Lineage: Eukaryota; Viridiplantae; Streptophyta; Magnoliopsida; Solanales; Solanaceae. The record is from RefSeq and is a predicted model, not a curated record.